RNAcentral lists this ribosomal RNA (492 nucleotides) under uncultured bacterium. RNAcentral's name for it is "partial 16S ribosomal RNA". It matches the Rfam family "Bacterial small subunit ribosomal RNA", at positions 29 to 507 of the family's 1533-position model. The record is from RNAcentral.
AGCGAACGCUGGCGGUAGGCUUAACACAUGCCAGUCGAACGGCAGCACAGUAAGAGCUUGCUAUUAUGGGUGGCGAGUGGCGGACGGGUGAGGAAUACAUCGGAAUCUACUUUUUCGUGGGGGAUAACGUAGGGAAACUUACGCUAAUACCGCAUACGACCUACGGGUGAAAGCAGGGGAUUUUCGGACCUUGUGCGAUUGAAUGAGCCGAUGUCGGAUUAGCUAGUUGGCGGGGUAAAGGCCCACCAAGGCGACGAUCCUUAGCUGGUCUGAGAGGAUGAUCAACCACACUGGAACUGAGACACAGUCCAGACUCCUACGGUAGGCAGCAGUGGGGAAUAUUGGGCGAUGGGCGCAAGCCUGAUCCAGCCAUACCGCGUGGGUGAAGAAGGCCUUCGGGUUGUAAAGCCCUUUUGUUGGGAAAGAAGAGCAGCAGGUUAAUACCCCGCUGUUCUGACGGUACCCAAAGAAUAAGCACCGGCUAACUUCGUG